This 465-nucleotide ribosomal RNA is filed under the name Vreelandella stevensii. RNAcentral's name for it is "partial 16S ribosomal RNA". It matches the Rfam family "Bacterial small subunit ribosomal RNA", at positions 338 to 795 of the family's 1533-position model. Lineage: Bacteria; Pseudomonadati; Pseudomonadota; Gammaproteobacteria; Oceanospirillales; Halomonadaceae. The record is from RNAcentral.
CCUACGGGUGGCAGCAGUGGGGAAUAUUGGACAAUGGGGGCAACCCUGAUCCAGCCAUGCCGCGUGUGUGAAGAAGGUCCUCGGGUUGUAAAGCACUUUCAGUGAGGAAGAACGCCUGGUGGUUAAUACCCAUCAGGAAAGACAUCACUCACAGAAGAAGCACCGGCUAACUCCGUGCCAGCAGCCGCGGUAAUACGGAGGGUGCGAGCGUUAAUCGGAAUUACUGGGCGUAAAGCGCGCGUAGGUGGCUUGAUAAGCCGGUUGUGAAAGCCCCGGGCUCAACCUGGGAACGGCAUCCGGAACUGUCAAGCUAGAGUGCAGGAGAGGAAGGUAGAAUUCCCGGUGUAGCGGUGAAAUGCGUAGAGAUCGGGAGGAAUACCAGUGGCGAAGGCGGCCUUCUGGACUGACACUGACACUGAGGUGCGAAAGCGUGGGUAGCAAACAGGAUUAGAUACCCCUGUAGUC